GUCAGCUCUAGCCUUCUUAAAGACGCUCUAAAUGUAAGUCCGAUAGUUAAAACAAAUGUUGGGUGAAACAAGUGUAAAAAUUGAGCUUUGAAUUUUUUUCAUCAAUGUUAUAACUGUGUUCAUUUUUUUUUUUCUUUUUUUGAAACAUUAGACAAAGAGGGAUAAGAUUCAGAGGCUACUCGGACAAAGGGAGGGCAUAAUCAUCAAAGCAUCUGAAGAACAAAUUAAAGCCACGACACACCAUGAGGAAGGUGGUGGCAUAUGGCCAUUUGGUGGCUAAUCUAAACACACAUUUAAUCUGUUUAGCAAGCACCCUUCCCAAUGGAACCAGGAUCGAUGACAGCUCCAUACUACAACUCAAGGGCCACAAAGAUAGCUGUGGUGACUAAUGAGAAAGGAUACUUUGAGAUGGCAUGUCCUCACUUGUCCUCUUCGGAGUCCGGUGGCACCGGCAGCAGCAGAGGAAGGCAUGAAGGGGUAGAGGAUUGCACCAGCAGCAAUGCAAGAGUAGUGGCCCAAGGUACCAGAAAGUGAGAUGCCGCCUGAGCCGUGGUGUGGUGUUUAUCAUUCCCCCCGGUCGCCCAAUCAUCACCAUCGUUUCCAAGAAUCAAAAUCUGCAAAUUGUCUGCUUCGACGUCAAUGCUCUGAACAAUGAGAAAUUCCCUCUUGCAGAAAUUGAGUUGGUUUUGCUAUCCAAUUCAUGCUCUUCCAAAGCGUUCCUCACAAAAGCUUUGAAUUUCAGUAUACUUUAUCUCAUUGUACGAUUGAAAGCAAGCGAGGAAAUGCUUUCUGAGUUCCUUCGAUCUGGCACAUCUUUGAACUUAUUGAAGCUUGAGAAAGAAGUCCUGCUCUGCUGCCCUAUGUUAAGCAAAUGCCACUAUUUUUUCAAAGCUGGAUACUCAUGAUCAUGUCAUUGGCAAGAUGGAACCAAAUUAUUGAUGCUUGGAUUGAUGGAGUUUAAUGAUGGUUUUAUAAAGAUGUACUUUG
Camellia sinensis is the source of this 987-nucleotide non-coding RNA. The record is from RefSeq and is a predicted model, not a curated record. Lineage: Eukaryota; Viridiplantae; Streptophyta; Magnoliopsida; Ericales; Theaceae.